CUGGGUUUCCAGGGCACAGUUUUUAGGUUUAAGGAACCUGCUCAGGACGAACGCUGGCGGCGUGCUUAACACAUGCAAGUCGAACGAUGAACCACCUUCGGGUGGGGAUUAGUGGCGAACGGGUGAGUAACACGUGGGCAAUCUGCCCUGCACUCUGGGACAAGCCCUGGAAACGGGGUCUAAUACCGGAUACUGACCUGCCAAGGCAUCUUGGCGGGUCGAAAGCUCCGGCGGUGCAGGAUGAGCCCGCGGCCUAUCAGCUUGUUGGUGAGGUAAUGGCUCACCAAGGCGACGACGGGUAGCCGGCCUGAGAGGGCGACCGGCCACACUGGGACUGAGACACGGCCCAGACUCCUACGGGAGGCAGCAGUGGGGAAUAUUGCACAAUGGGCGCAAGCCUGAUGCAGCGACGCCGCGUGAGGGAUGACGGCCUUCGGGUUGUAAACCUCUUUCAGCAGGGAAGAAGCGAAAGUGACGGUACCUGCAGAAGAAGCGCCGGCUAACUACGUGCCAGCAGCCGCGGUAAUACGUAGGGCGCAAGCGUUGUCCGGAAUUAUUGGGCGUAAAGAGCUCGUAGGCGGCUUGUCGCGUCGGUUGUGAAAGCCCGGGGCUUAACCCCGGGUCUGCAGUCGAUACGGGCAGGCUAGAGUUCGGUAGGGGAGAUCGGAAUUCCUGGUGUAGCGGUGAAAUGCGCAGAUAUCAGGAGGAACACCGGUGGCGAAGGCGGAUCUCUGGGCCGAUACUGACGCUGAGGAGCGAAAGCGUGGGGAGCGAACAGGAUUAGAUACCCUGGUAGUCCACGCCGUAAACGGUGGGCACUAGGUGUGGGCAACAUUCCACGUUGUCCGUGCCGCAGCUAACGCAUAAGUGCCCCGCUGGAGAUCCACUUU
Molecule: ribosomal RNA, 890 nt
Filed under: Streptomyces nanhaiensis
Lineage: Bacteria; Bacillati; Actinomycetota; Actinomycetes; Kitasatosporales; Streptomycetaceae
Description: bacterial SSU rRNA
Rfam family: Bacterial small subunit ribosomal RNA
Source: RNAcentral